RNAcentral lists this ribosomal RNA (250 nucleotides) under uncultured bacterium. RNAcentral's name for it is "partial 16S ribosomal RNA". It matches the Rfam family "Bacterial small subunit ribosomal RNA", at positions 524 to 773 of the family's 1533-position model. The record is from RNAcentral.
UACGGAGGGGGCCAGCGUUGUUCGGAAUCAUUGGGCGUAAAGGGCGCGUAGGUGGCUGUGCAAGUCGGAGGUGAAAUCCCUCGGCCCAACCGAGGAACUGCCUCCGAAACUGCAUGGCUCGAGUCCCGGAGAGGGCAGUGGAAUUCCCAGUGUAGCGGUGAAAUGCGUAGAUAUUGGGAGGAACACCGGUGGCGAAGGCGGCUGCCUGGACGGGUACUGACGCUGAUGCGCGAAAGCGUGGGGAGCAAAC